UACGUAGGGUGCGAGCGUUGUCCGGAAUUACUGGGCGUAAAGAGCUCGUAGGUGGUUUGUCGCGUUGUUCGUGAAAACCUGAGGCUUAACCCUCGGCGUGCGGGCGAUACGGGCAGACUUGAGUACUGCAGGGGAGACUGGAAUUCCUGGUGUAGCGGUGGAAUGCGCAGAUAUCAGGAGGAACACCGGUGGCGAAGGCGGGUCUCUGGGCAGUAACUGACGCUGAGGAGCGAAAGCGUGGGGAGCGAACAGG
This 253-nucleotide ribosomal RNA is filed under the name uncultured bacterium. RNAcentral's name for it is "partial 16S ribosomal RNA". It matches the Rfam family "Bacterial small subunit ribosomal RNA", at positions 524 to 776 of the family's 1533-position model. The record is from RNAcentral.